UACGGGGGGGGCAAGCGUUGUUCGGAAUUACUGGGCGUAAAGGGCUCGUAGGUGGCCCACUAAGUCAUACGUGAAAUCCCUCGGCUUAACCGGGGAACUGCGUCUGAUACUGGAUGGCUUGAGGUUGGGAGAGGGAUGCGGAAUUCCAGGUGUAGCGGUGAAAUGCGUAGAUAUCGGGAGGAACACCGGUGGCGAAGGCGGUUCUCUGGGCCUUACCUGACGCUGAGGAACGAAAGCUAGGGGAGCAAACGGG
This 253-nucleotide ribosomal RNA is filed under the name uncultured bacterium. RNAcentral's name for it is "partial 16S ribosomal RNA". It matches the Rfam family "Bacterial small subunit ribosomal RNA", at positions 524 to 776 of the family's 1533-position model. The record is from RNAcentral.